GCCGCCUCCACCAUGAAAAUCGCAGGUGUCUUUGUCCUCCUCGCUCUGGCACUUCCCUGCUGCUUCUCAGAAAAGGAGUUGAUGUUAAGAAAGAACAUGAGGGAACAUGUGGGAUGUCCACGUUGGAGCCUCUCUCUCGUACUGAGGUUAUAGACCCGGAAACAUAAACUGGAAUGGUUCUUUCAGCUCUGUGUCCAUGGAAACGUUGAUCUCACUCAUUCUGACAGAGGAGACCAGGAAAUCUGUACCUCAACUUCCUCAAGAUGAUACCUGACUGACCUGCUGACAUACACGGCGUAUUUGCCUCCCUGCACGUUUCUUCAGCUUUGGGGUCUUUCCAGCUGGCUCUAAAAUUAGAGGAAAUCCUUCCCAAGAAAUCCCAGGGUCAUCUCCUCACUGUCAUGCAAACUGCAUCCCAAAGUGAACCUUAGUCACUGUAAAACUACUCACUCAUGGUCCCAAAGAGUGAGGGCUGGAGACUGUUGUAACGAUAGUCAUUGCAAAUGUUUUCAUUUUUACCUCCACUAAUUAUCUGGGAAUCAUUUUCUCUGGGGUGUGAUUGAAGAGUCUGGGAUCCGCUGAUGAAUAGCCCUAUAGGAGAAUUAAGUAUUAUGAUAAUUACGCAUUGAUUUUAAGGCAGAAGAAGGGGCCACUGUCCAUGUCUGUUCUGACCUCCUAUGAAGCACAGGCCAUAAAAAGUCACCCAGGAAAUCCUGUAGUGGAGGGAAUUUCCCCUGCCUAGAUUUAGUCUCCAGACGGGGGUCAGCUUACCCUGUUGGGAUGUUGUAGCAGGACCCUUUGCUACCCCACACCCUGCAGGCUCCGCCCACUGGCACAGGCUGCCUGACUCUCUCAUAGACUUGCACAAUGCCCGUCCCUCAGCUGCUGAAUGGUUUAGACACUCAGACUAGCGUACUUGGCUUGACUGUCUGUGUAGAUGCAAUCGUAAGACAAUAUACUCCCCACCCUGAAACACUGGUGUCUUACUGGCCCG
This is a long non-coding RNA of Malaclemys terrapin pileata, 994 nucleotides long. RefSeq lists it as uncharacterized. The record is from RefSeq and is a predicted model, not a curated record. The transcript is spliced from 3 exons. Lineage: Eukaryota; Metazoa; Chordata; Testudines; Emydidae.